GUUGCGGCAUUCGGGAUCUUUAGUUGUGGUAUGCGAACUCUUAGUUGCAGCAUGUGGGAUCUAGUUCCCUGUCCAG
Molecule: non-coding RNA, 76 nt
Organism: Bos taurus (domestic cattle)
Lineage: Eukaryota; Metazoa; Chordata; Mammalia; Artiodactyla; Bovidae
Source: Rfam